This 446-nucleotide ribosomal RNA is filed under the name uncultured bacterium. RNAcentral describes it as "partial 16S ribosomal RNA". It matches the Rfam family "Bacterial small subunit ribosomal RNA", at positions 338 to 795 of the family's 1533-position model. The record is from RNAcentral.
CCUACGGGUGACAGCAGUCGAGAAUCAUUCACAAUGGGGGAAACCCUGAUGGUGCGACGCCGCGUGGGGGAAUGAAGGUCUUCGGAUUGUAAACCCCUGUCAUGUGGGAGCAAAUUAAAAAGAUAGUACCACAAGAGGAAGAGACGGCUAACUCUGUGCCAGCAGCCGCGGUAAUACAGAGGUCUCAAGCGUUGUUCGGAAUCACUGGGCGUAAAGGGAGCGUAGGCGGUUUCGUAAGUCUGAAGUGAAAGCCGGUGGCUCAACCCGCGGACGGCAUUUGAAACUGCGAGGCUAGAGUGAUGGAGGGGGAAGCGGAAUUCUUGGUGUAGCAGUGAAAUGCGUAGAUAUCGAGAGGAACACUCGUGGCGAAGGCGGGUUCCUGGACAGUGACUGACGCUGAGGCUCGAAGGCCAGGGGAGCGAACGGGAUUAGAUACCCCGGUAGUC